RNAcentral lists this ribosomal RNA (595 nucleotides) under uncultured Alphaproteobacteria bacterium. Its description in RNAcentral is "bacterial SSU rRNA". It matches the Rfam family "Bacterial small subunit ribosomal RNA", at positions 1 to 637 of the family's 1533-position model. Lineage: Bacteria; Pseudomonadati; Pseudomonadota; Alphaproteobacteria. The record is from RNAcentral.
CCGCGGGAUUAGAGUUUGAUCCUGGCUCAGAACGAACGCUGGCGGCAGGCUUAACACAUGCAAGUCGAACGCUCACCUUCCGGUGGGAGUGGCAGACGGGUGAGUAACGCGUGGGAACGUACCCUUUGGUUCGGAAUAACCCAGGGAAACUUGGGCUAAUACCGGAUAAGCAGGAAACUGGAAAGGUUUACCGCCGAAGGAUCGGCCCGCGUCGGAUUAGCUAGUUGGUGGGGUAAAAGCCUACCAAGGCGACUAUCCGUAGCUGGUCUGAGAGGAUGAUCAGCCACACUGGGACUGAGACACGGCCCAUACUCCUACGGGAGGCAGCAGUGGGGAAUAUUGGACAAUGGGCGCAAGCCUGAUCCAGCCAUGCCGCGUGAGUGAAGAAGGCCUUAGGAUUGUAAAGCUCUUUCAUCGGGGAAGAUAAUGACUGUACCCGCAGAAGAAGCCCCGGCUAACUUCAUGCCAGCACCCGCGGUAAUACGAAGGGGGCUAGCGUUGUUCGGAAUUACUGGGCGUAAAGCGCGCGUAGGCGGGUGACUGACUCACAGGUGAAAUGCCAAGGCUCAACCUCUGAACUGCCUUUGAUACUGGU